CUUCCCAAAGUGCUGGGAUUAUAGGUAUGAGCCACCGUGACUGGUCCUUAGCAUUCUAGAGCAUUCUAGUCCCCUCCACGUUGGACACUAUUGGAAAGACAUUGGGCGCUACCUAGCUACCUCUUUGUCCUGCUGACCCCACUGCAGGAGGUUUCUGGGAGCUCCAUCCAACCUGGUGUGUUCAUCCUGUGGAGGCUGCAGCAGAAGGUACUGGAGACACUGGUAGUAACAGCUCCAUUUUAAAGAGGAGGACACUGAAGCCCAGGCACUCUUUCAGUCCUGCCAUUUGCUGGGUCCUGAGUUCUUGUCCUGCGUCCAGGAAGAAUGAGGUACGAGGACAACUGGAGGGUGAGCAAGGUGAAGAGGUGCUUUAUUGAGCGACAGUACAGCUCUCAGGAGACCAGAAGUGGGUAGCGCCUAUCCACAGUUACACUCUGCAGCAGAGACGUUUGCCACUUCCCAGGAUGCAUGUGCACCCCCACAUCUCCCAGUCACCUGGGAGUUAGGCAGGGCCACGUGACGACUAUUCUUGGCCCGUGGACUCUGGGUGGAAGAUUUAAACGUCAGCGAGUGGCCCUCCAGCUCUGUCAUCUCCUGUUCAGUGACCAAGGAGUCCAGGCGUUCUGAGAGGGCAUUGCUUCCUGAUGGCUUGGGUCUGUGUCCCCGCCCAGAUCUCAUGUCAAGUUGUAAUCCCCAGUGCUGGAAGUGAGGCCUGGUGGAAGAUGAUUGGCUCAUGGGGGCGGAUUUCCCCCUUCUCUACUGUUCUCGUGAUAGAGUUCUCACGAGAGCUGGUUGUUUAAAGGGUGUGGCACCUCCCCCUGCCGCUUCCUCCUGCUCUGGCUACGUAAGACCUGCUUGUUUCCAGGCCGGGCGCGGUGGCUCAUGCCUGUAAUCCCAGCACUUUGGGAGGCUGAGGCAGGUGGAUCACUUGAUGUCAGGAGUUCGAGACCAGCCUGGCCAACAUGGUGAAACCCCGUCUCUACUAAAAAAAUACAAAAAUUAGCCAGGCACGGUGGCAUGCGCCUGUAAUCCCAGUUGCUCAGGAGGCUGAGGUGAGAGAAUAGCUUGAACUCAGGAGGCAGCAGUUACAGUGAGCCGAGAUCACGCCAUUGCACUCCAGCCUGGGACAAAGUGAGACUCUGUCUCAAAAUAAAAAAAAGAAAAAGAAAAAAAUGGCAUGCCUGUUUUCCCUUCACUUUCUGCCAUGAUUGAAAGUUUCCUGAGGCCUCUCCAGAAGCUGUCAUGCUUCCUGUAUGUCCUGUGGAACCAUGAGCCAAUUAAACCUCUUUUCCUUAUAAAUUACCCAGUCUCAGGACAUCUCCCUCUGCCCGAGUCUCUGAGUGAAGCAGAGCCUUCCGUCAGCCCAUGCUGGAUGCACAACAUUUGCUAUGUUAAACCUUUGAACUCUUGGGAUCAUUUUUUAUUUCAUUUUUUAGAGUUGGGGGUCUCACUCUGCUGUCCAGGCUGGAGUGCAUGGCUUGAUUAUAGCUUGCUGCGGCCUUGAACUCCUGGACUCAAGCAAUCCUCCCGCCUCAGCUUCCCAAUUAGGUGAGACUACAGGCAUGCACCACCAUGCCCUGCUAAUUUUUAAAUUGUUUUGUAGAGUCAGGCUCUUGCUGUUUUGCCUAGGCUGGAGUGAAGUGGUGUGAUCCACAGCUCACUGCACCCUCAAACUCCUGGUCUCAAGCAGCCCUCUCGCCAUGGCCUCCCCAAAUGUUGGGAUUAUAUUUAUGAGCCACCACACCUGGCUGGGGUCAGUGGUCUUUGUUGCAUUGACUAAACUUUCCUAAUAUAUAUAUACAUUUUUUUGACAGGAUCUCACUCUGUCGCCCAGGCUGGAGUGCAGUGGUGAGAUUUCAGCUCACUGCAACCUCCACCUCCUGGGCUUAAGUGAUCCUCGUACCUCAGCCUCCUAUGUAUGUGGGACUACAUGCAUGAGCCACCACACGUGGCUAAUUUUUGUACUUUUUGUAGAGUUGGGGUUUCGCCAUGUUGGCCAGGCUGGUUUCGAACUUCUGACCUGAAGUGAUCCGCCCGCCUCAGCCUCCCAAAGUGCUGGGAUUACAGGCAUGAGCCACCGUGCCUGGCCACUAAUAUACCUUCUAAACAGGGCAAGUGAUACUGAAUUCAUAUUUACAUAAUAACGCAAAAUUUACCAAAAAUAAACAUAAAGGGAGUUGGUUCAAAGAGAAAUAUCAGGUGCAUAAUUUGCUCGGUGAUACUUAGACAUGGUAAGAAUCCUGGGGGCAAAAAUCCAAAUGAUCAACCAAGAGCCAAAUGACCAGUGUUUUUGGAAAAUACUGCUCUUGUAUUCUCAUCUUGCGCUCUGCAGGGGAACACGGGCCUUUAUGGAAAUUGGCCAGAAAAUCAAUCUCUAUUAAUUCCCAUUUGUUCACUCUAUGUCCUGUGGCUUAAACAACAUCACCAAAAUCUUUACAUUAACGUUGAUUAGGUCAGAGAUUACAUUAAAAGAUCUGAAUUUUACAUUUGAUUUUAGAACCAAAUAGCUUGCCUUUGCUCAUAGUAUUCCCCAAACACUAAUCCAGGGUAUAACCUGGUGAGAAGGAGGGUUUUCAAGUCUUUCUGUUCUUAGGGUGCUAUUUAAAGGCAGAAGCAAAUGAUAAGUGACUCAGGAUUAGAAGCCACCCAGACACUGCAGCCAGUGGGGAAAGGAUGGAGUGUUGUUCCAGUCCAGGGCACCAAAAGCCGGGCACGUGCCGAUUAACGAGUAAUUGGGUCCUGGCAUGGUGAUUUGCAUGCUGGAAACUGCUGAAAUAUUCAUGUACUUGACUGUGUCUCUUCCAAUUAGAU
RNAcentral lists this long non-coding RNA (2811 nucleotides) under Homo sapiens (human). RNAcentral describes it as "HSALNT0229227". The record is from RNAcentral. Lineage: Eukaryota; Metazoa; Chordata; Mammalia; Primates; Hominidae.